UCUCUGAGGCUGUGGGUGCUUGUAGGGAGU
RNAcentral lists this non-coding RNA (30 nucleotides) under Homo sapiens (human). Lineage: Eukaryota; Metazoa; Chordata; Mammalia; Primates; Hominidae. The record is from RNAcentral.